Long non-coding RNA from Passer domesticus (house sparrow), 17640 nucleotides. RefSeq lists it as uncharacterized. The transcript is spliced from 7 exons. The record is from RefSeq and is a predicted model, not a curated record. NCBI's taxonomy places the organism in Eukaryota, Metazoa, Chordata, Aves, Passeriformes, Passeridae.
AGAGGCCCAGCCUCCCAGGGAAGGUAAACCAUGGGAGGAGCCCCUCAGCACAGCUUGUCUGGGUCACAGGGUGUCUCUGUGUUCCAGGGAAAGGCACAUGUCCUGCUCUUGGGAGCACUUGUGAGAUUUCUAAAUUAAUCAGUGGAAGUGGCUCAAGAGAAGUCCAACCCAGAAUACACAAUCAAGGUGUUCUUUGCCAGUAACACAGAGGGGAAGAGGCUUAAUAAUAAUGUUCUUGCAUCUGUAUCAUCUCUGACCUUCUUACUUCUCAUCUAAUCCAUUUUUGUGAGUGUUUUGUCUGGUCUAGAUAAUUCCUGCUUUGUGCAGCAUCUGAGAAGCUGCUGGUCUUUCAUAUCCUACUGCUUAGUGCUCUUCCACAGGAAAUUUCUCUUGGGAUUUAUUGUAGUGCUACUCCUUUCACAUGCCUUUGUAGUCUGCUGUCUCUGAAGACUGUUAUUCUUCUGAAAUAAAUCCAAAGAAAUUCAAGAAGUCCAGGUAAGCGUAAGAAAAGUUUAAUGGAUAUAGUGGGCAGUCUUUCAAAAUGCAGUUUCCAGUCAGUCAGUGUGCUGGGAGUUUGUGAUGCCUCCUUUUGUGCUCCACUGAUUCUUCUGAGCAAACUUGAUAGAGAGAAAGUGGCCUGUGUCAAAACACAGUUGGUUACCAUUUAUUUUUCCUUUUGUGCAAGUUUUACUUAAAAACUACCUUGAGUCUUUCACACAGCUGUGUUCUGGAGACCAGAUUCAAGACAGAGCACUUCUGUGAUUUACAAGUUAAUUUAAAGGACAUACAGGCUGUGGCAACAUGCAGGAGCAAAGCUUGUUUUUGAUUCAUAGAAGUCCUAGUUCCUGGAUUGAUUGGUUUAAUAACCUUUGUUAAAAAAGGUUAUUAAACCAAUCAAUCUGAUUUCUGAGAGCAUCUUAUUCCUCUGGGCUCAAGGGGUAGAGAGUAGGAAGUUUCAGUCUCUCAAUAACUUGUUAGCUUUGACUUCACAGAGCAUGUUAGAGUGCUGUGCUGUGCAAAUUCUGCUUUAUGCACACACCUCUUGUUUGAAAAGACACCUCUGUUAUAUCUGAAAAGCGAUACAUUUACAGGAUAGAAGAGAGCUUUCGAAUUUAGCUCUCAAGAUGGAUAUUUAUUUGAAUGAUCCAUUUGGAGCAGUUCUUUUGCACUGCCAGUGUUUUCUCUAAGGGAUUUGUGGUCCUGAGGCAAUACUUCAGGAAAGCAGUCUCCCCAGGAGAAGAUGAAUAAUAGCAGACUUCAGCAAGGUCCUCAGUUAUGAGUCAAGUUAAAUGUUUGUUUCUUAGUAAAAUCUCACCCCCCCCCAAAAAAAAAAUAAUAUACUUAGAUUCUUCAUCCUAUUCCAUUUUACUGUUUUCCCUUCUGAGGGCAAAGAGAGGCUUGCUGCAAUGAUGUAAAUAUUGUGAUAAGCCAUCUGGGAGGCUGCUGACUUGUACCAAGUUUUAAUUCGUUCUGUUCUUCUCAGAAAACAUCUAGAAAAGCUUUUCUUUUAUGCAUUCUGGGAAGGCCUUUAAGAGGUGAUGAAUGUGGGCAGUGACUUUCAAACUAGAACUGGCUUGAGAUCUUAACCCUCAUUCAUUUUCAGCAGAGCAUAUGCCUCCAAAUGUGAUGAGAAAAAUCCAAAUGAGAAAAUCCCGUCUGCCUGAAGUCUGGACAUGACAGAGGGGAGUAUUUCAUCUUUCUGAGAAACUGCAAAGCAAGUUUCUCAUUUAGGAGCCUAAAAAGCAUUAGGUAGCAUUUGUUAAGUGUAAAGGGAUGGCUGUUCCUCAAUUUCUGGAGUUCAUCCUUGUACAUAGUUGUAUGUAGUGUUCAUACAUGAUGUAAUACAUAUUUGUAUCAUGCAGUGUUCAUAAUUCCUGUGUGCCACAGGAUCCAGGGAGGCAGAAGACAAGCCUGUGAAACUCCCAGGCACAGCACCAGGAUCAUUGAGUCAGCACCCACUGCAGCUGUCUGGACAAGCCAGGUGCUGCUGCUCUGUGCUGGUUCCCAGUGACCCAUUCCUCAUGGCUGCUGAUAUCCAUGCAUCCAAGAUGUGGCUUGUGGCCACGUGUCUGUGCUGCCUCCACCUUCUGUGGUUUUGGGUUGGAGGAUUACAGGUACCUGGAAUUUUUCACCAUUCCAGUCAAUGCAACAAGGCAUUUUGUCUUUGAGAAAAGAGGCAAUUAUUUCUGCUUGGGAAAGCUCCCAACUGAGCACAUCCUCUUGCCCCAAGGCCAGGAUGAUCACCACUGUGAGUGAUCCAGGGGCUCAGACACACUCCUGGUGCCAGGACUUGACCUAAACUUAAUUACAGUCAAAGAUGGAACUCCAGCAGUUGAUAAAAUAUGCUAAUCUACUAACUUCAGUUAAAAUGAGUACUGGAAAGAAGAUUUCAGACAGAAAAAAAGAGCAAAUUUCAGCUAAGAAGAAAUUUUCUAACUCUGUGGUUCAGAAACGCCUGCAUACCAGCACUUUAUUAUUGCCAGCAACACUGGAGCAGCUUAGGGGUAUUGAGCCCCUUUUUAAAAGCAUAUUCCCUUCAUAGUGAAUUCUGAAAGCCUGUCAGGAAAAUCAACCCUUUUAGCAGCAUUUACAUCUGUACUUAGCCUUCAGAGUUGCUGAAAUCUCUGUGAGACCUAAACGUAUCCUUAAAUGCUGCCCUUAGAGACAUUUUCCUGAAGAACUAAUUUUCUGAAACACGGUCUCUAAAUGCAUGGAAAACCAGCAAAGCAUCUUUGUCUUCCCAUUUUUGAACUUGAGAUCGAUUAUAAAAACACUGAUUUUUAGAAGUUCUUCCAAAGGAGCUCUUUUCUUGUCACCGUGUGUCACUCUGUUAGUCACAUUUCAAGCCAUGGAUUUGAAAACCGACCUGCAGAAGCAGCUACCUUUGUCAUAAAUUUAACUCGACAGCUUCUCUGUGGGACUUUCAAUCGGGAUUUUAAGAAAAAAAGAACACUGAAAGUGUCAGUCCAAACAUACGGGAGGCCUACACAUACUGCCUUCUACUUCAGACUCCAAAAUGAUCAGAAACAUAAAAUGCCAAGUUUUGGAGAAAAAGAACUUUUAAAAACUUGUUUCAGGGACACAGAAAGCAGUUUCUGCUGUUUGAGGGGCUGUGUGGCUCUGAGGCCUGAUGGGCGUCGCUGAGGGCUCAGCCCAGCAGGCAGAGGUGCCUCCGUGCCACUGCUCAGAAUCCCGUGUUUUCCACUUAAAUUUGGGAGUCUCGAUGGAGGACGUUAAAAAACCCCGGCAUAUUUCAGUGCUGGUUGCUGGAAGCUUGGAUCCUGAGGCGGUGGGAGCUGGUGUGGCGGGGAAGAGCCGAGCCCUCGGGCCGCUCGGAGCCGCCUCAGCCUCCAGGGCAGGAGCCCCUCCCGGAGUCCGCAUGAAAAUGGGAUCGAGGUGUGGGAGCUGCCGCCCCUGGCAGCUCUGCUCCCGGGCUGCCUCCCUGGAAACCUCAUUGCUGCGGCUGUGGGGAAUCCCAGGGUCCGGUGGGAGCCCUGGCUGCCGCUCCAAGCGCCCUGAGCCCGGCCGGCCCUGCCUCGGCGCCGCCGCCAUUGGCACAGCCCGGCCGGCUGCGGUCAAUGUGGCAGCCGCGCUGCAGAGCGGAAAUUUCCUCGUGAAGUGUGGAGAAAAAACCCGUAUAACUGAGUUUAUAGCUCGAAAAGUGGUAAAACAGCCCUUGAAGAAGUCAUUAAAUGUGAACGGACUCAAUGAUUUCUGCCUGAAUCAUCAGCAAGCUUUAAAGACACCCAACGCGUGUGUGAGGGGAAGGCAGGAGCCCCGGCCGAGGAGCGUUCCUGAAAUCCCACUUUUGUUAUUUUAUUUGUAUUUGCCACUGAAGCGUGACUGGAAAAGUGAUAAAAAUGCUUUGGAUACACACAAGGGGUGAAGGUGCAAAGGGCCAGUGACAUCCCACAGCAGCGCUCCUCAUCCACCGCCUCUGCCUUCUGCAGGAGCCGUGACUGCACCGUGACCGGUGACCUGGUGAGAGACAUCAGCCUGAAAAGUGACCUCCAACUUCAGAGUCAGGAUUGCACUGGCACAGAAUCACAGCUUGGGAUUUCAGCUUGCAGUUACACCCAAGAAUGAAGCUUUACAGUCAUGGAAAACAAGAAGGAAAAGAGCACAAGGUCAUGACUAGAAAAUGAGCACUUCUUUCUCACUAUAAGCUUGUUCACCAGCUCCUGAUUAAAGACAAUGCAAACUUCUCCAGGCUGCUCCACAAAGUAUUCUCUCUCCCUCAUCAUCUCACAUGGAUUCUGCUAUGGAGUGACAGUGUAAAUAUGGCACCUCAUUUAUAAGAGUCUCCAGUCUGUUUAUUCUUCAUCUCCUUCUCCUAGAAUUUUAAAUAAAGCCCUCACUAUAACCUCAAAACAUUUGAGAAAUGAGCAGAUACUAAAAAAUGCCAAGUCCUGAUCCAGUUAUAAUCAGUAUAAUCCCACAGAGAUAUUCCCAAAGCUUUUAUAACAAUGCCUGAGUUCAAGGUGGAAAGGCUUAAACAAAAUCCACUGUCUUCAGAUGCUAAAACCUACACUAUUUGAUAAACAGGGAUUUAGUUCCAAUUAAACAGAUGAUUAAAGAAGAAAAAGCUCAGAGAAUAAUCAGCCCUAAUUAUACUACUGCUGCUAGUGUAAUUAAUCAGUUUUGUGACCUGCAGAAUUGAGAUAAGGAGCUACAAGAUGUGGAGAUGAAAACUUGCUGUGUAGAAACCAAGGAUCAUCAUUAUCCAAACGAACACAUUAACAGUAAUUGCUCCAGGCAUGGGUUGUGUUUGGCCCCUUUCUGCUGCCUGCUCUGCUCUCCCACUCCCUGGCCCAUGGAGCUGUGGCCACUUCAAACACCUGCAGUGACCUAAAAGUACAAAGAACAUUAACCUAACACUGCCAUUCACACCCCUGUCUGUGCCUCAGAGAACUCUUAUCACAGCCUAUUGCUGUUUGUGAAGCUAUUUUUCAAGAGCUUAUAAAGUUCUCUCACUACACAUUGGUAAAGUAAACUAUAAAAAUAACUUCUCAGUGACAUGAAAGCCAUAAAUCACAAAGACAGAAAUUCAGGGAUGCACCUCUAUCUAACAUGCUGCCCUUGAACCCUCCUGUUAAUAAGCAUUUCCUAUAAGAACACAGCACACAUCCCCAAUAAUCUGUGAUUUUACAUAUUAGCUGUAAAGGGAAGGAAUAAUGGAGCAGUAAAUGCUGUUCAUCUCAAUUGGGUUUCAACAUCAGUUUUGAGUUGUCCUGGCCCCGCAGGUUUAGAAAGUACCCUUAGCACUACUUCAAAGUAGUUUUUGUGAUUUAAUUUCAUAUUUAUGCCUUUACUCAGCUGCAAGAGCUGUUUCCAAUAAAUAAAGAGAGCAGCUAUGAAUCUUCCAUCCCAGCUGUAAAUCCCUGCAGCAGAUACAUUUUUAGUGAUGCGAGGCUGGCACUCCUGGGUUCUCUCUCCAUAAAUACAUCACUGUCCGUCCCAAGCCCCUGGUGGAAAUAUGGCUUCAAUUUUUUUCUUAAAAACAUGGAUCAAUCAUUGCUGCCCUUGCCUAUUCUUUUCUGUCAAAUGCUUCAAAUGUGCUGGAGGAUCUGUAAAAAGUUUGAGAAGCACUUUGGAUACAAGCCUUACAAUCCUAUGGUGUAACAUUUACCUUGGGUGCAGCUCUUGCUGCCUUUGAGCUGCACAGGAGCUGCUCCCACUCAGAGAUCAAUGUGAGUGAUGGCAAUCCAACAAGUUCAACAGAUUUCAUGGAGCAGUGGAAGGGCCUCUCCUGCCUGAGAACACCCUGAGACCAGGAUCUAAGAGCUCCCUGUGCCUUCGGGCUCCAGGCUACAUAUUCUGUAGCCAGGGGAGAAAGCACGGAGUGUCCUACCUGUAGACACAGAGCAGAGGAGGUUUACACAUUACAUCAGCUUUCUAAUUUGGUAAAAUUUAGAAUUUUUAAUUACGUGAAUAAAUUAGAAUUAAAUAAAUUACCAAUCUACUUUAGUAAAACUUCCUGAUUUACUGCACUGGCUAAAAAUGUUUAGGCCAUUUAUUCUUUUUUUUGUUAGAUAAGUAACGCUUACAAAAACCCAAAAGCAAUUCCAGACCAAGGCGAUUACCAGAAAGCCAGUAAGAAUUAAACACUUAAUUGUUUAACACGGUAUUUGGGUCUUGCCCCCUAGCAAUGAAGGACAGCUAACAUCUCUUCUGAUGUCCAGGUCUCUCAUCAGAGCUAUAUCAGCCCUUGAAGUUGGAUUAAAACAUAACUCCUUUGAAACUCCAGAAGUUUGUGACUCACUGGAAGGAAAUUUAAAGGAUGGAUGGGUGGGAGGAGUGAGCUUCCCCUCCUGUGGAGUUUGCUACUUGAGCUUGGUUGCCAGCGCCACACUCACGUCCACCUGAAAUGUUACAGGAGGAAGUGGCUUUGAUCCUUUCUCCCUAAUGAUCUGCUCAGUCAGAACCCUGUCAUGAAAAUGUGACACUACCAUCUUGUUAAUGCUCACCCUCUGGAAGAGCUGUUCUUUGAAUGGAAGUAUCAAAGAUCCUCCUUAAUCUACUUUAUGGGAAAGUCUCUGUUUUAUGGCCACAUGCAGUAAAAAGUACCAAACCCCACAGUAUUUCAAGUUCCAGCAUUGCACAGCUGAGGCCAGCCCAGGAUAACUCCUCAGUGACUGCUUGGACAUCUUCAAAGGUGAAAAAAACUGACAAAAACAGUUUCCAAAGCAUUGUUAUCAACAGUGCCUUUUCCUCAAGAGAAAACCCAGACUGACGUUUUUAAUGGAAUUUCUCUGGACUCAUUAAAAACCAACCCCAACCCUGUGAGCAGGGACCAAGAGCCAGUGUAACAGCAGUGUGCCCAGAAAAGGCCUGUCUGCACUGCAGUGAAGCACCUUCUGAAGGGGACACCCUCCUGAGGGAAGAAGCACAUCACAGGGAGCCUGAGGGAGCCCCUGGUACGGAAGAAACAGCCUCUGGGAAGAGCCCCACGUGCCCACACAUACCAGGAUCUGGGAGAGCUGAUGGCUCCCACACUGCUGGCAGGGCUGCAGCACACUUCAGUCCAAGGGAGCAGGGCCUGGCUCCAGAAUUCAACAGCAGCCAGGAGCUUGGCUCAGCAGGAAAGCUGUUACCUGAAAAAACACCAUUUGUUCCCAAGCCACGGGCUCCAGACACGUUCAAGGAUCUCCAUGUAGCAACAGGAAAAUAACUGUGACUUCUCUUGGGCUAAUACUGCACAGCACUGCAGUCACUCACCUUCCCUGUGGGAAUGAGAGAGCCCCUUCUGUGUCCCUGCCCUGCAGCAACACGAGUGCUCCAGGCACCCUCAUCCCUCCCCCUGGCUCAGGGGUAGAUGCACUGAUGUAAAAUGUCCUCCAAUUCCAGCAGCAUUCUGCAGAAGGCAAAUACAAGCUGGAGCCUCUGAGGGUUUCCAACGUGCCAGCAGAGGUGAAGCUCUGGAAACGCAGGAUUUUGGUGCCUUGCCUGGUCUGAGGCAGCCUCCUGCAGCCCAAGCUGCCUCAGUCCCUGCUGCAGUGACACACGGCAGCAUCUCUGGCAGGUGCUCAGCAUUUCAAAUGUCAAAACAAGCCACAGUGGCUGUGCUCUUCACAUGCAGGGCAGCCAGAGCCACGCAUGGACAGCAGGGACAUUUGGCCAGGCAGGCAGAUCUCACCUUUGCACUCAGUGCUGCAGCUCGGGAUGAUGGGAUCCGUGCUGCAACAAAACCAGACCCAGAUCAGGAAGAUGAAAUUGCGACAUUUUAGUGGACUUCUACCAUAUUUCUUUUUUUACAAGGCAUCAGCUCUAAAUGUGCUAAUUCUGCACUGGUUAAGUAGAAGAACUUGAAAAAUGUAAUGGAAGCAGAGAAGUCCUCAGAAUUCCAGAUCCAGGCUGAUCUGCUUUCCUCUCUCCCCACCCCCCAACUGUCUGAUCUUAUCCAUCAUCCACAGCUGAUAGCAUGGAGGUUACAAGUCCCCAGUGCCCACACAUCCCUGUGCAGGUUCCCAGAUCAUGGACCUCACUUCAGUGUCUAGGCCAUUCACUGUUCCCAUGCCAGGAUUCAAGUCCAAAAGUUACAGAAACUGCAGAAAAACAUGCUUGUAAAGAAUGUUAUCACUUGGGAAGCAAAAACAUGGCAGGUGUGUGCCAAAGGAAAGCUGGGGAAGCAGCUCUAGGAUGUUCUGUGUCUUACAAGACACCUCAGCCCUUGAGCCUUAUUCAGCCUCUGUCCACACAAAAAAUGAUGGAGUAACUAAUGGUUUGCAACAAAAUGGCAGAGUGACCAUGGCCUGACGCAAAAUGGCAGAGUGAUGCCAAAGUCUGACACAAAAUGGCGGCAUGACCCAGGCCUGACUGCAAGUGGGGGACAGAGCCAUGGCUGCUCCAAAGCAGGGCCCGUUUCUGACAGCUGGGUCACUGCAAGGCAGGGAUUCCUGCCAGGAGCCCCUCCCAGCUGAUGGUGCCUUUGUCCCAGGAGCAGGGACAGCAAUGAGCAGUCCCAGCUCUGGCAGCCGCAGCGUUCCCCCAGCAGCAGCUGCCCUGAAGCCGGGUGGGAAUGGCACAGCCAGGGCAGCCAGGGCGCUUGGGAAAUGCAGACAGAGCUGUCUUCUCCUGUGCAAGGGGGAAAACAAACACUGACAACUCAGCUUGGAAAUCAGGUAAAUGUUCCGUUUCUCUGUACUUUGAUUCCAGCAAUACAAAAAAUGGAAGAUAACGUUCUAUUGGAGUUUGCCAAUAUUACUGACAGGACUGCCUUGGUCUGUCUGGCCUUGGCUGCUGACCAAAUAGCAGCACCCGUGGUCCUUCCUCCCCAGAGACACUGUUCAGUGCCUGUGGUCACAGCUGGGCACGUGGGGACAAGUCGGGCAUGCCCUGAACUCCAGAGCUUACAGCUGGAGCUUGCUGCUGAGGGGGGCACUCCUCAGGCCUUCCUGAGCUGGAGAAACCUUUGAGGUGAAGAAAGAACUGGGUCCUGAUGGAGAGUUCUUAAUCCAGAGUUUUUAUUUUGGUGGCACGGCCUCUGAAUCUUGCAACAACCUGCUGAACCCUCCCACCAGAACUCUCCACCAGACCCCCACCUCGUGGUCUGCUUGUCCUUUUACCUGGGGAGAGGGGCAGGGGAGGGAACACAGGGAGCACCAACCAGGCACAGGGGGAGGGGGUCUCAGGUGAGAGGGACACCUGGGUGGGCCAAUGGCCCUCCAGGGGGUGGAGAGCAUCCUUUGAACCUGCCAAUUGCUCGACAUUCUCCUUGGAAUUUCUGGGUUGAUAAGCAGUGCCCAGCAGUGGUCAAGGGUGGGGAAAAGGAGAGGUGAUUGACAGCCCACCUGGGGAAGGAAAUUUCAGGGAGAAGCCAAGGGAACUGAGGCAAGCCAUGACAUCACACUGCAGCAACAUUCUGUAUUAAUCCAUAUCCCAUGUGUUAUUUCAGACAGGUGCUUCUUCUCACACAAAGCCUCAAAUCACUCCCCAGCCCGUUUCCAAGGACUGGUGCCCAGGCUCCAGGACAGCAGGAUGACAAGACAGCCUGAGAGCCUGCUGGUUUUGGAAAUAAAGCGAAUUUGGUAUGGGGAGCUAAGGGAAGGCAGUACAUGAGCAGCUGCCUGCAGAUAUUCUCAGUGCCCAACUGCAGAAAUGCCAGUGGCACGUGACUUGUUCUAACCAACUGUCCUGGUUUAGGGCAAGUUUGGGAGAUAACCACCAAAGGGGCUUCUCUACAAAAGCAGAUUCAAUUGCUCCUCCCCCUCUAACCGGUUCAGGAGAAAAUAUCUCCUUGGAGAAAAAAGUGGAAAGAAACCUGUUUAUUAAACAAUAGAACCCAAACAAUAUUAAACAAUAAAACUUCUCACUGCUCUAAAGAAAGUAAACACACCCAAUAACAAACAGGCACCUUCCAACAAAACCUCAUUUCUCAACAGACAAAAUCUGCCUGCAUCUUAGGAGCUGUUCAGUGAUAUACACACACAGAGAAAAACUUUAAUUAAAAGAAAGAUGCUGUGAAGAAUGUAACUACUGCUUUACUAAAACUGCAAGAAAUGAAAAAAGAGAUGCCAGCUGAUGUGCUCGUUGACUUUAAAAUCUGUCCUCAGACCUGGAAGGAACACAGCUGCUGUAGGGGUGCAAUGAGGGCAGAUUUUGGAUCAUAUAAAUUUAGAUUUUUUUUCCUCUUAGCAACUUAAUGCUCAUGAAAUUAUAUAACAAAUCUGCAAACCAAUUACCAAAUGUCAGAAGGUGCCCUGGUUAAAAUACACACAUCCCCUAGAAUGUGCCAUAUUCACAAAUUAGCCAUGUGUUAUUUAUAGCUCCUCAAGGCACAGCAAUGAAGAAAGUGGUAAUGAAAUCUGAAAGCCUGAAUAUCUCCUGUAUGUCAGAAAACAAAUCCCACAAGACCCAUCUGUAGCCCAAACUGGGGGAAAGAAAAUAUCCUUUCUAAAGCAAACAAAAACCCUACAAACAACCUCCCCCACCUCUGCAGUUUUGUAUUUGUUGUUUCAUUUGUAAAAUUAAGCUGCAAAUUAAAACCCUUCCAUACUACUUCCAUUCAUUUAAUCAUAAUGAUACCUUGAAAUUCCUUAUUUUUAUUCCUCAGCACCACAGGGUGCAUCCCAAAUGCUUCAAAGAGACAGAGUCCUCUUUAUUCCCUUUGUUUCUGUCCAUGGAAGGCUGAACUCACAUGCACACCAACUCCUGCCCAGCUUGCAUGGUGAGAUGGAACUUUAACUCAAAACUCUGAUAGCUCCACAUCCAAAUCCUGCAUGUUUACACCUACCCUUGUUUAUUUCUUCACUGGUUCAGUUUUCAACAUCCACAUCCCAGUGUCUGUAGGGCCUUUGCUCGCUUGUCUCUGCCUCUCUCACUUGCCAAAAGUGACUUUCUGCUGAAUUCUUUUGUCACACAUUUUCUCUGUCCCUUAUUGAUCAGAACUGUUACUCUGCUUCCCAUGUGUGUUUUCCCUCCUUAAAAAUAAGGUAUUAAUAUUAUUUUUUCUUCUUUACUUGUGGUCAUCUAUACAUCAUAUCCUCUGCAGAAAAAACCUUUUUGAACAAAGCCGUGCUAAUUACUGCACUGAAAUACUUUAUACUCAGCCAGUUUGGUGCCGCCAAGCUGUAGCACUGUAAGACACAAAGAAUUCCUCACCUUGGAAUGUGAUUUCCAAGCAGCACAGAACAAGGAUGAAUGAAGGACACUGCCUCUUCUGUGGCACAUGGAGCAGUUAUGGGGAAUGAGUUGGGCUUGUUCACAGCAGAUGCAAACACCACAGAACUGCCCAAAACGUUUGAAGGUCCAUCAGGAUAUCUGCAUGGCUCCAAGUGCAUAUUGAUACAACAAUCACCAUCACUGCCUUUCCACCCCCAGCUCAGUAACAUCCUGGCCUUUCCACCAGAGCCUGCCUCCAUCCAUCCAUCCAUCCAUCCAUCCAUCCAUCCAUCCAUCCAUCCAUCCAUCCAUCCAUCCAUCCAUCCAUCCAUCCCAAACUAUUGGCUUUUCUCCUCCUUUUUUAAUCUGCCUCUCUGUCCCCCUGUAUUCAUUGCCUAUUUUCUCAGAUUGUUAGAAACCUUUUGGGCAGUUGACAAAUUCUUGGAGGCAUCUGAAGGGACAAAACAAUCAGAGCAGAAGAGGAGCUGCAUCUUUGUGUUACUUGUGCAACCUGACUCUCAGCCAAGGGUGAGCAGAUGGGCCUGUGCUGUCAGCACACGUUCUGAAUUUAAAGGAAAUUACACUGGCUCCUGCUGGCUGCUGCAGUAGCACAGUGACCUCUGGAGCCAUCUCUACCUCUGCCCCGUGCUCAAAGGUGAAUUCUGAUAGGGUUUCAUUUACUUGAUUUAAAACUUUGGUCUAUGUAAGAGAUAUGGAUCAUAAAAAACAAGUUUAAAAACAAAUAUAAUAAUUUUUUCCCUCAUCUUCACUAAACCUCCUUUUCUGCAAUUCUGUUUUUUAUUAUUCUGGACUUAGUGACCCACUGACCUUUGCUUUUGAAGACAAAUGUGUAGCUGUGAAUGGUAAAAACAUAAAAAGCACCCCUGCAAAAUAAAUACUUUUGUCUCAUCUGGUUUCAGCCUCAGAUACAAGCAGGAGACUUCCAUGGGAAAAGUCUCCAGAAUAUAGUUCAUAUGGAGAUGCAAGAGUUGAACACAAAACCUUUGGGGUUUGAUUUUAGAGGUCCGUGGAUAUUUCAGGCUGAAGGCAGACUUCAUCCACCACUCCAUUUUGGACUGAGUAGCUUUGGGAGGGCUUUGGGCCUGUGCCUUUGGUCCCUUAGGGAUGGGAAGUGUCACAAACCCAGCCUUGCCAGGGCCAGACUCCUAAAGGGGGAGUCUUCCCAGGAAAUCCCUUCCUGCCUUCCCACAGACAGUCCAUGUCGUGCUGGCUCCCUGUGCCACAGGCAGCCAGGCAUCCUCCAGCACUGGGAUGCUGGCAGAGACUGGAAGCCUCUCUUUUUAUGGAGGGAUCAGAGCUCAGAGAUCUUGACUUCAAGUUUCAAAUUACCAUUGUAAACCCGUACUUUCCCUGUUUUGGUCAGUGCAGUCUUCUCAGACUGAAUGGAGACACUGGGUGCUAAAGAUUGCCUUUGUUAGCAGAAGCAGACUCCAUAAGCCAUGGUGCUGUUAAUUUUUUCAGUUCUCUUGGCUUCCUUAAUAUCAUUCAGCUAUUUAUUUUCUUUAUGGGUACCUUAUUCUGCUUGAUUCUGUUUCACUUUGAACCUCCACUGAUGCUGAGGGUUUCACACACUUUUUCUCACACUGUGCAAAAUGCUGCUGGAAUCUUUGUGCAGACUCUCUGGUGACAGAAAAAGGUUAUUAUUACCACCCCCCUCCUUGUAUUGUGUCUCCAUAAAUCUGUGCACAUGCUUUGUAGCCACCCAUUUUGCACUGGAACCUGAAGAAAUAAUUUUGUUGUACUCACUAUAAGAGCACUUUCUAAAAGAGGUGUCUUUCUAAUGGUCCCUUUUUAGAGCUGGUGCAUGCAUCAUGCAGAGCUUCCAGGAGGGUUUGCAGUGAUUUGCUCCAGUUACCUGUGCCUCACCACUGGGGCUGCUGCCUGGCACAGAGGUGAAACCAUCCAGGCUGAAAGGAAAAGGCUCUGUUAGGUUGGAAUGCAGAGAGCAAAGAAUUUCAUUCACCAAGGGCAGUGAUGGAGGAGCUGCAUCCACACUCUUCCAGUCACCCAAUUACUCUGUUCCUGCCUUUCUCAAGGAUCUUAAAUCCUCCUGGAGCUUUUGUGACCCCCAUCCUCCAUCUAUAGAGGCAGAGAAGACAGAGUGAGCUUGCUUUCCUCCCUUCUGAACAGUUUCCAUACUUCCACUAAUUCCAUCUGCUUUCUCUGUGCUAUCCCACCUUCUCAACAAUCUCUGCCAAGGAUCAGCAACUGCCCAAAUUAAAUGGCCACUGACUGCUAUGACUCAGAAAUAUUUCUAUGUGAGCAGCAGGGUCACCCAGGGUACUCCAGCCAGCAGUCAUUCCUGCACACAAGGAGCAGCUGGAUAUUAAGGCAUAGCUGUGAUAUCCAUAUACUGCCCAUAUGCUCACUUUGGAGAAGCUGGGGAGACUCGUGACCUGCAAACAGGGUUAAAUGGAAAUUAUUAAAUAAACCAGAAAAAGGGGAAAAAAAGCCAUCUAUUGGCUAAUUGUGCUCCAUAGUCCUAAAAUUUCACUUGGCAUUCAGGAAGGACACAUGGGGUUUGAAUCAUUUUCUGCCUUUACACUUUCCCUGCUACCAGAGGUAACAUGGGGAUGUUCUUCAAUAAACAAAUCUGCUCUUUUCUCUCAAGGUUUGUGUACGCUCUGAGUACAUUGGUGACACCAGAUUUUUCACCAGGGAAAUGAAAAAAAAAACAACAAAACCAGCAGCCUACAUUGCUGAAAACCCAAGAAGCUAAGCUGGCCAGGUCUCUGAAAUAUGGUAUGAGUGAAAAGAUAAAGAAAAUUAAAAUUCCCAUCCAGCACAAACUGGGAAGUGAAGGAACGAGGGCUUUCCUACUGAGGCUGUCUCCAGUUACCAUUCUUCUGAGCAUGGCAUUAUCCACUCUGCACUGAGGAGGCCAAAAUAUAAAAGGUGACUGACAAACACAGGAGGCCAAAAGGAAGCAAAAGACUCACAAAGAGAACCUAUGGAAGAAGCCUUCUGUAAAGCAUGAGGGACCCCUGAGCCACAUGAGAUUAUUUUCCUCUUUUUUUCCUCCUUAAUUCUCUCACAGCAGACAGUAUUUCCCAUCCCCCCUUUCUGAAUCUCUACAACGUACAAGCUCUGUGUUUGGGUGCAGGCAGGCUGGGAAGUGCAACUGUGCAUUAGAGCUGCUGGAGCUGGGGAGGCAUUUUCAGUGAGUAAGAACCACACUUCCAUAAAUGACACACAAAAACUACAUCCCCAAUCCCACAACACGUGAAACAGAUCCCUGGAUCAGUCCCAUCACCAGCCCUGCCCAUUUCUGUGCAUGGCUGCUUGGGAUGGAGCUCUGGGAGCACAGCUGGGACACAAGGGACACUGUUCCCAUGUUCUCAGAAAGGCCCCAGGGAUGCAGGCUCAUGUGUUUGUCACAUCCUGCACCAGCCUGUGGAAAAACCUUGAUCCAUUACCUUCACUCUUCCAGAUGCUGUUAGGAAUUGGAGAAGGACAAUGCCACCUUCACCUGUAGCCUGCAGGAACAGCCAAAUCUCUUUGGGAGAACAAUCCCAUCUACACAGGCACCUCCUGCCUCUGAAUUCUGUGCAUCCUUCCUUCCAGCAGUGAAAGACCUGGAGGGACACAAACAGCAAUUACCUCUCCUGCAGGAAAAGCCCAUCCUGCCCCUCCAAACCAAACUGUCCCUUGCUCACCUAUGGUACACGCUCAUGGUUUAAGUCCUGUUACUAUUUCCAUUAAUGAUUAUCAAUAUUUCCAAUAAAGAUGGGCUGGAGACAAACCAGGAUCUAAUUAUUAAUUACAUUUUGACCUGCAUGCCCAGAUGGGUGUGAAAAAAGUUUCACUCAAGAGGAGUUUUUCCUUAACUCCAGCAGACCCUGGAUUUUUCCACUGAAUGUUUUCAUUUUCAGGUGCAAUUACCAGAAAUAACAUUAAUGGCUUUCAGUGCAGGACAAAAAUAACUAAAGGCAGAGCAACUGUCCAGCUUAGAUGCUUAUCCUAAGAAAAGACUGAGAACAAUCAUGCAAAGCUUGAUAACCUGAGGGGAGAAAAAGCAAACAAGCACAGGGGUGAAGUCUAAAUCAAAUAUGAAGCAAUCUAUAUUUUCCAUUAAAGCCAUUGUGGAACUGGGCAUUUUGCAAAGGUCUUGAUUGAAAACCAUGGCAAAGUUAAUGGGUUUGACUCAAAUGAUCCUCAGCACUUCAAUAAGGAACAAGGAGAAAGGAGGCCCACAAAAGCAGAACUUGUAAAGAAACAUUAGUGCAACCAAACAACAGAAAAGAAACAAUUUCAAUUGCUCUAGGAAGGAGUAUAAAUUGUCUUGUUCUCAAAACUAGAGGGAGAUUCAAGAGUGCAGAAUCUCAUUAGAAUUUCAGCACUGUAUUUUUGUUAUAAACAGCAUGUCAGUAAGAUUUACCAGUAUUGUCUCAAUAUACUGAAAGCUUUAUUAUUUUUUCUUUGACAAGAGGUACUUUUCUAAUUCCUUACUUUUAAUAAAAAACAAUAAAGAUGUGUACUGAAUUGAAAGCUAAUUAGCACAUUCAUAGGUGUCAAAAAUUCAAUCACUUUUGUACUAAUUUUUGGCUUCUUUUGUGGUCAGUUUAAUUAAAUUUGUUGAUAAAAUAAAGGAGGAUAUAAAAAAUUAUUAGUUUAGGCUAGGUUUUUCAAAGGCAAUUAGUAGUUAGAGCCCAUUAAUUGAGGAGAGAAUCAGACCAAUAAUUUCUAGGGCUUUUUUACUGUUACCCUUGAAUUUUUAGUAUAAUCAGCAAAGAACAAGGAGCAGUCAUGAUCCAAAAGUUUCCUGGGAUCCAGGGACAAAAAAUAUUCUUGAGGUGCUGAGAAACAGGAGUUCAGAGCUGCAGAGGCUGCUGACAGCCUCUUACAAUGGGUGCCCUGUUUUAGAAGCUGUGAUUUCAAGAGGUGGCAAAGUGGGUCAUAAAUGCUACUGAGAGCUGAAAAUUAGGAGAUGAAAACCACUUGAGAAUACUGAAGUGUGGUGGGUCUGAUUACAGCAAUCAAAAUGCUAUCCCAUUUUGCUACAGUUUAUCUUGAACAGUAAGGUUAAGGAAAAAAAAGCCAAAAAAAAAAAAAAAAAGAAAGCCACAUGAUCCUAAACUGUGUGUAUGCAUAAAUGUUACAGCCCUGACAGGGGCUGCACAGGCAGCUGACCCCAAAGGUAACGUGGUGUUGAUCUGGUUUUGUGCUGGCAGCCAAAACCCCUCCUGCUGCUUCGCCAGGCCUUUCACUCCUGCCCACAGUCUGAAUCCUCCUGGAUUUGGCACUGAGGACUGACUGCUUCCCACCAAAUACCUGCAAAACCAGUUCCAUCCUUCCAUCCUGAGGUGCCUGUGUGUGUGCCCUGGUGCAUGGCCAGUGCAACAGCUGAGUGACAUUUGUCCCUCACGACCAUGGGCAAGAGUGUGUGCUCAGAGCACCUGGGCACGGCCUCCUGUGGGAAAACUUCUCCUGGCUGAGGACACCACAUCUCCAAGGAUCACUGCAUGAACCUCUGCACCUGCCCCACAAAGUGCAGAACAACCCACAAACACACAGUGACACCGCCAAGAACAGCUCCCAUCCAACCAGCCCCCGCGGGGCUCCCGGAGCAGCAGAGGACAGGAGAACAAACAGCAGGUGACAAAUGUUGGGUCAUGCCCACCUUAGGCCAAAGUGACUCCGUGCUCUGCCAGCUGGCUCAGCAAGCUCAUCCCAAUUCAUCUGGGAGCUGUGCUGUGCACAUGAACUGUGGAGGACUUCAACAAUGCAUCAGGUGGGAGAUAUUAAAGGCACUGGAAAACAAACAAACACACAAAGAAAAGAAACAAACCUGAGUACCAACAGCAGUACCCAGUGCAGAUUAAAAAUGCAAAUAAACAAAAUAACUUCAUGAGUCAUUUUAUGUUAAAUCCCAGUCCUCAGGGAUGAGUUGAGCACCAAUGUGUACAUGCCUUGUUUAUUAUCCUGUGAGCUAAGAAUUGAAAUAAAGUCUCAGAGUAAAUAAUUGAGACAAGAUUCAGUGAUAUGGAGCGUUCACUGCCAGCCUUUUAAAAACGGAUCUACCUGCCCCUCUUGCUGAGGAGGUUUGUGCAAUACCCAGGUUCCACAGUUCCUUCUUCAGCAGAGGAAGCCACUGCUGUUCCACCCCAGCUUUUUGUUACACUCUUCAAUUUCUUUAAGCAGUAUCAUAUAAAGCCUGUUUUCAAGAGUGAAAUAAAUAACUGGAUGGAGAUGAACUCUGUGCAAGGGGAGGUACAGGGCAGUGCUUCUGAGUGCCACAGUCUGGGAGAAUCCAUGGGAGACAUUUCCAUCCACGCUCCCAGAAAGCACAGAGUGCAUCAGCAGUUGCUGUAAUCACCUCUCCCACAAUAACCAUCACUGCUGUCCUCUGUGCUCUCCCCUGCUCACGCUGCCUCCCUUCCCUUCCUGGCUGGGAUGUUCCAUCACACACCUCCCUCAGGUGCACACCAAGCAGUGAUGUUUGCCAUUUUGUACUUUAGGAAUUUCUGCAGGUUUAACAGUUUUAAAACAGACAUUAAGCUGCUCUUUCUUGUGUUUUUU